RNAcentral lists this ribosomal RNA (492 nucleotides) under uncultured bacterium. RNAcentral describes it as "partial 16S ribosomal RNA". It matches the Rfam family "Bacterial small subunit ribosomal RNA", at positions 29 to 507 of the family's 1533-position model. The record is from RNAcentral.
AGUGAACGCUGGCGGUAGGCCUAACACAUGCAAGUCGAACGGCAGCACAGUAAGAGCUUGCUCUUACGGGUGGCGAGUGGCGGACGGGUGAGGAAUACAUCGGAAUCUACUUUUUCGUGGGGGAUAACGUAGGGAAACUUACGCUAAUACCUCAUACGACCUACGGGUGAAAGCAGGGGAUCUUCGGACCUUGCGCGUUUGAAUGAGCCUAUGUCGGAUUAGCUAGUUGGCGGGGUAAAGGCCCACCAAGUCGACGAUCCUUAGCUGGUCUGAGAGGAUGAUCAGACACACUGGAACUGAGACACGGUCCAGACUCCUACGGGAGGCAGCAGUGGGGAAUAUUGGAAAAUGGGCGCAAGCAUGAUCCAGCCAUACCGCGUGGGUGAAGAAGGCCUUCGGGUUGUAAAGCCCUUUUGUUGGGAAAGAAAAGCAGCAGGUUAAUAACCAGCUGUUCUGACGGUACCAAAAGAAUAAGCACCGGCUAACUUCGUG